UGAACGCUAGCGACAGGCCUAACACAUGCAAGUCAGGGGCAGCACAAGGAGCAAUCUGAGGUGGCGACCGGCGCACGGGUGAGUAACACGUAUGCAACCUGCCUGUAAGCGGGGAAUAACCCGUUGAAAGACGGACUAAUACCGCAUAAUACUAAAUUACUGCAUGGUAAUUUAUUUAAACAUUUAUGGCUUACAGAUGGGCAUGCGCAUGAUUAGCUAGUUGGAGAGGUAACGGCUCCCCAAGGCAACGAUCAUUAGGGGUUCUGAGAGGAAGGUCCCCCACACUGGUACUGAGACACGGACCAGACUCCUACGGGAGGCAGCAGUGAGGAAUAUUGGUCAAUGGACGAGAGUCUGAACCAGCCAAGUCGCGUGCAGGAAGAAUGUCCCUAUGGAUUGUAAACUGCUUUUGCAGGGGAAUAAAGUGCAUCACGUGUGAUGUUUUGUAUGUACUCUGCGAAUAAGGAUCGGCUAACUCCGUGCCAGCAGCCGC
RNAcentral lists this ribosomal RNA (493 nucleotides) under uncultured bacterium. Its description in RNAcentral is "bacterial SSU rRNA". It matches the Rfam family "Bacterial small subunit ribosomal RNA", at positions 30 to 518 of the family's 1533-position model. The record is from RNAcentral.